This 1260-nucleotide ribosomal RNA is filed under the name metagenome. Its description in RNAcentral is "bacterial SSU rRNA". It matches the Rfam family "Bacterial small subunit ribosomal RNA", at positions 243 to 1520 of the family's 1533-position model. The record is from RNAcentral.
AGAUAGUUGGCAGGGUAACGGCCUACCAAGUCUGCGAUCCAUAGCCGAACUGAGAGGUUGAACGGCCACAUUGGAACUGAGAAACGGUCCAGACUCCUACGGGAGGCAGCAGUGGGGAAUAUUGGGCAAUGGGCGAAAGCCUGACCCAGCGACGCCGCGUGAGGGAAGAAGGUCUUCGGAUUGUAAACCUCUUUCAGCAGGGAAGAAGAAAGUGACGGUACCUGCAGAAGAAGUCACGGCUAACUACGUGCCAGCAGCCGCGGUAAUACGUAGGUGGCGAGCGUUAUCCGGAAUUACUGGGUGUAAAGGGUGUGUAGGCGGGGUGUCAAGUCAGAUGUGAAAACUGUGGGCUCAACCCACAAACUGCAUUUGAAACUGAUACUCUUGAGAGUGGGAGAGGUAAACGGAAUUCCUGGUGUAGUAGUGAAAUGCGUAGAUAUCAGGAGGAACACCGGUGGCGAAGGCGGUUUACUGGACCACAACUGACGCUGAGACACGAAAGCGUGGGGAGCAAACAGGAUUAGAUACCCUGGUAGUCCACGCUGUAAACGAUGAAUACUAGGUGUGGGGAUCGUAGGAUUUCCGUGCCGCAGUUAACGCAAUAAGUAUUCCACCUGGGGAGUACGGCCGCAAGGUUGAAACUCAAAGGAAUUGACGGGAGCCCGCACAAGCAGUGGAGUAUGUGGUUUAAUUCGACGCAACGCGAAGAACCUUACCGGAGCUUGACAUCCUCGGAAGACCGAUGUAAAGUUGGUUGUGCUCCUUCGGGAGAACCGAGAGACAGGUGGUGCAUGGUUGUCGUCAGCUCGUGUCGUGAGAUGUUGGGUUAAGUCCCGCAACGAGCGCAACCCUUAUGUUUAGUUGCUACGAAAGAGCACUCUGGACAGACUGCCGUUGACAAAACGGAGGAAGGUGGGGACGACGUCAAAUCAUCAUGCCCCUUACGCUCCGGGCUACACACGUACUACAAUGGUGAGAACAAAGGGAAGCUAAGCCGCGAGGCGGAGCGAACCCCAUAAAAAUCAUCCCAGUUCGGACUGCAGGCUGCAACUCGCCUGCACGAAGUUGGAAUUGCUAGUAAUCGCGGAUCAGCAUGCCGCGGUGAAUACGUUCCCGGGCUUUGUACACACCGCCCGUCAAACCAUGAAAGUUGGGAACACCCGAAGCCUGUGUUCUAACCGCAAGGAGGAAGCAGUCGAAGGUGGGUUCAAUGAUUGGGGUUAAGUCGUAACAAGGUAGCCGUAUCGGAAGGUGCGGCUG